UCCCUCGAGGAUUAGGGGUUAAGCCACGGUGCUCUCACUGCCACGGCCUGGGUUUGAUUCCCAGCCAGGGAA
Molecule: transfer RNA, 72 nt
Filed under: Pangasius djambal
Lineage: Eukaryota; Metazoa; Chordata; Actinopteri; Siluriformes; Pangasiidae
Description: tRNA-Glu
Rfam family: tRNA
About the family: Transfer RNA (tRNA) molecules are approximately 80 nucleotides in length. Their secondary structure includes four short double-helical elements and three loops (D, anti-codon, and T loops).
Source: RNAcentral